GACCCCGUAGUGCAGCGGUUAGCACGUCGCCCUUUCAAGGCGAAGAUCGAGGGUUCGAAUCCCUCCGGGGUUACCA
This 76-nucleotide transfer RNA is filed under the name Vicinamibacteria bacterium. RNAcentral's name for it is "tRNA-Glu". It matches the Rfam family "tRNA". Rfam says of the family: Transfer RNA (tRNA) molecules are approximately 80 nucleotides in length. Their secondary structure includes four short double-helical elements and three loops (D, anti-codon, and T loops). Lineage: Bacteria; Pseudomonadati; Acidobacteriota; Vicinamibacteria. The record is from RNAcentral.